GACGUGUCAUGAGAAGUAGUAGGU
Molecule: non-coding RNA, 24 nt
Filed under: Arabidopsis thaliana (thale cress)
Lineage: Eukaryota; Viridiplantae; Streptophyta; Magnoliopsida; Brassicales; Brassicaceae
Source: RNAcentral